GGCGUACUAAUCUGCGAUAAGCGCCGGUAAGGUGAUAUGAACCGUUAUAACCGGCGAUACCCGAAUGGGGAAACCCAGUGUGACUCGUCACACUAUCAUUAACUGAAUCCAUAGGUUAAUGAGGCGAACCGGGGGAACUGAAACAUCUAAGUACCCCGAGGAAAAGAAAUCAACCGAGAUUCCCCCAGUAGCGGCGAGCGAACGGGGAGGAGCCCAGAGCCUGAAUCAGCAUGUGUGUUAGUGGAAGCGUCUGGAAAGGCGCGCGAUACAGGGUGACAGCCCCGUACACAAAAGCGCAUGUGCUGUGAGCUCGAUGAGUAGGGCGGGACACGUGGUAUCCUGUCUGAAUAUGGGGGGACCAUCCUCCAAGGCUAAAUACUCCUGACUGACCGAUAGUGAACCAGUACCGUGAGGGAAAGGCGAAAAGAACCCCGGCGAGGGGAGUGAAAAAGAACCUGAAACCGU
Molecule: ribosomal RNA, 465 nt
Filed under: Salmonella enterica subsp. enterica serovar Enteritidis
Lineage: Bacteria; Pseudomonadati; Pseudomonadota; Gammaproteobacteria; Enterobacterales; Enterobacteriaceae
Description: partial 23S ribosomal RNA
Rfam family: Bacterial large subunit ribosomal RNA
Source: RNAcentral